GACAUAAGUAACCUACCCUAAACAGGGGGAUAACUAUUGGAACGAUAGCUAAGACCGCAUAGGUAUAGCUUCCGCAUGGAAGGGAUAUUAAAAGUAGCUAAGGCACUGGUAGAGGAUGGACUUAUGGCGCAUUAGCUAGUUGGUAGGGUAAAGGCCUGCCAAGGCGACGAUGCGUAGCCGACCUGAGAGGGUGACCGGCCACACUGGGACUGAGACACGGCCCAGACUCCUACGGGAGGCAGCAGUAGGGAAUUUUCGGCAAUGGGGGAAACCCUGACCGAGCAACGCCGCGUGAAGGAA
RNAcentral lists this ribosomal RNA (300 nucleotides) under uncultured Erysipelotrichaceae bacterium. Its description in RNAcentral is "bacterial SSU rRNA". It matches the Rfam family "Bacterial small subunit ribosomal RNA", at positions 114 to 409 of the family's 1533-position model. The record is from RNAcentral. Lineage: Bacteria; Bacillati; Bacillota; Erysipelotrichia; Erysipelotrichales; Erysipelotrichaceae.